Molecule: transfer RNA, 71 nt
Filed under: Ictidomys tridecemlineatus (thirteen-lined ground squirrel)
Lineage: Eukaryota; Metazoa; Chordata; Mammalia; Rodentia; Sciuridae
Description: Spermophilus tridecemlineatus (thirteen-lined ground squirrel) tRNA
Rfam family: tRNA
About the family: Transfer RNA (tRNA) molecules are approximately 80 nucleotides in length. Their secondary structure includes four short double-helical elements and three loops (D, anti-codon, and T loops).
Source: Rfam by way of RNAcentral
GCAGUUGUAGCUCAGUGGUAGAGUUCUUGCCUAGCAUGUGUGAGGCAUUGGGUUUAAUCCUAUCCACUACA